Molecule: ribosomal RNA, 465 nt
Filed under: Vreelandella stevensii
Lineage: Bacteria; Pseudomonadati; Pseudomonadota; Gammaproteobacteria; Oceanospirillales; Halomonadaceae
Description: partial 16S ribosomal RNA
Rfam family: Bacterial small subunit ribosomal RNA
Source: RNAcentral
CGUACGGGGGGCAGCAGUGGGGAAUAUUGGACAAUGGGGGCAACCCUGAUCCAGCCAUGCCGCGUGUGUGAAGAAGGCCCUCGGGUUGUAAAGCACUUUCAGUGAGGAAGAACGCCUGGUGGUUAAUACCCAUCAGGAAAGACAUCACUCACAGAAGAAGCACCGGCUAACUCCGUGCCAGCAGCCGCGGUAAUACGGAGGGUGCGAGCGUUAAUCGGAAUUACUGGGCGUAAAGCGCGCGUAGGUGGCUUGAUAAGCCGGUUGUGAAAGCCCCGGGCUCAACCUGGGAACGGCAUCCGGAACUGUCAAGCUAGAGUGCAGGAGAGGAAGGUAGAAUUCCCGGUGUAGCGGUGAAAUGCGUAGAGAUCGGGAGGAAUACCAGUGGCGAAGGCGGCCUUCUGGACUGACACUGACACUGAGGUGCGAAAGCGUGGGUAGCAAACAGGAUUAGAUACCCCGGUAGUC